Molecule: ribosomal RNA, 506 nt
Filed under: uncultured bacterium
Lineage: Bacteria
Description: partial 16S ribosomal RNA
Rfam family: Bacterial small subunit ribosomal RNA
Source: RNAcentral
AUUGAACGCUGGCGGCAGGCCUAACACUUGCAAGUCGGGCGGUAACAGGAAUCAGCUUGCUGAUUCGCUGACGAGUGGCGGACGGGUGAGUAAUGUCUGGGAAACUGCCUGAUGGAGGGGGAUAACUACUGGAAACGGUAGCUAAUACCGCAUAACGUCUACGGACCAAAGUGGGGGACCUUCGGGCCUCAUGCCAUCAGAUGUGCCCAGAUGGGAUUAGCUAGUAGGUGGGGUAACGGCUCACCUGGGCGACGAUCCCUAGCUGGUCUGAGAGGAUGACCAGCCACACUGGAACUGAGACACGGUCCAGACUCCUACGGGAGGCAGCAGUGGGGAAUAUUGCACAAUGGGCGCAAGCCUGAUGCAGCCAUGCCGCGUGUAUGAAGAAGGCCUUCGGGUUGUAAAGUACUUUCAGCGGGGAGGAAGGUGUUGUGGUUAAUAACCGCAGCAAUUGACGUUACCCGCAGAAGAAGCACCGGCUAACUCCGUGCCAGCAGCCGCCGUAA